AAAUGUGGCCAUGACUGCAGUGAUGACAGCUCCUCUGGUAUUGGUGACAUGGUAUCUAUCAGCCCUUUGAGAAACUCAAGGUAAUCUGGGUACUUCUGCCACGGCUUCAGUCACGGGAUCGCCUCACUCUGAAAUUUUCAAUGGCUCCCUAGGACCUACUGUCUUUUACAUCCUGGGCCCAGCAAUCAACGCUCAUUCUGAUAAUUGAGUCAUUCCUUCAGCCCCUGCUCCAUCAUUCCACCAAAGAUUGCAGAUGUUUUUAGGAAUAUAUAGGCAAGGCAACAAAAAUAAGACUCUGGGCUAAGGAAAAUAAGAAUUAGGAUAGAUAAAGUGAUGAAAAUGUUCUCCAGUUGGACUGAUGGUUACACAACUCCGUGCGUAGAAGUACAACUUUAACUGGGCGAAUUUAUUGGUAUGUGAAUUGUAUCUCCA
Suricata suricatta (meerkat) is the source of this 432-nucleotide long non-coding RNA. RefSeq lists it as uncharacterized. The record is from RefSeq and is a predicted model, not a curated record. NCBI's taxonomy places the organism in Eukaryota, Metazoa, Chordata, Mammalia, Carnivora, Herpestidae. The transcript has 3 exons.